This 320-nucleotide ribosomal RNA is filed under the name uncultured eukaryote. Its description in RNAcentral is "partial 18S ribosomal RNA". It matches the Rfam family "Eukaryotic small subunit ribosomal RNA", at positions 1470 to 1796 of the family's 1831-position model. The record is from RNAcentral.
CCCUUAGAUGUUCUGGGCUGCACGCGCGCUACACUGACAUACUCAGCAAGUUUCCUUGCCUGAAAGGGUUGGGUAAUCUUGUUAGUGUAUGUCGUGAUGGGGAUAGAAUAUUGUAAUUAUUGCUCUUUAACGAGGAAUUCCUAGUAAGCGCAAGUCAUCAGCUUGCGUUGAUUACGUCCCUGCCCUUUGUACACACCGCCCGUCGCUCCUACCGAUUGGGUGAUCCGGUGAAUGAUUCGGACUCUGGCUAUGCUAGCUACUAGCUACGUCAGGGAAAGUUUUGUGAACCUUAUCACUUGGAGGAAGGAGAAGCCGUAACA